GAAACUUGGAGAGUUUAUUUUUGAGGAUGUUCAGUCGCUGGAGACAUAUUUGCUGAGAUAAUUCAAAGCAUUGUGCUGGAAUAGGUAAGGGGAGCCCUGGCAGGGGGAGAGUGGCUUCCUACAGAUGUGUGGGUCCCCAAAUGUCGUGUCUUUCGCCGUUGCAUGGUGAAACUCCUUAAAGUCACGCAUUCCUGGGCCUGGAUCCCAGAGACCUCUGCUCACCUGGCUGACCUGAGCAGGGGCUCAGAACUCUGUGUCUCUCCUUUUCUAAAAACUCUGUGUCUGUCCUUUUUUAAAAAUG
This 301-nucleotide long non-coding RNA is filed under the name Marmota monax (woodchuck). The record is from RNAcentral. Lineage: Eukaryota; Metazoa; Chordata; Mammalia; Rodentia; Sciuridae.